This 665-nucleotide unclassified non-coding RNA is filed under the name Hevea brasiliensis (rubber tree). The record is from RNAcentral. Lineage: Eukaryota; Viridiplantae; Streptophyta; Magnoliopsida; Malpighiales; Euphorbiaceae.
CCCUCUAUGAAAUAAACAAAAAUAACAAUAAAAAGCCCAUGAGACCAAGAACAAGCAUCCACAAAAGACACCCAUCAUUAAAUAUACCAAUCAAAAGUCAGCAAUGUCUACCUUGAAGCAACAGCUAAUGGACCACAAGUUCUAACUCAUUAAGGAAUCGAAAGAAACAGAGAAAGAUACAAAGAAACAGAGGAGACAAAUGGUUGAUGAAUUAUUUGCCUGUAGUAACAGGAUAGCCAAUCCCAUGCCUUCUAGUUGGGAAAACAACAAACAACAAGCUACAGAUGAGCCCAAUCCCAAUUGGAACAAUAUCCAAAACCUCUUGAGUCUCAUGUUUAGGCAUAGGAUAGAAGCAACUCACCGCAUUCUUGUCCCUCAAAGCCACAGCAACAAACACCAGCACAGAUAAAACAGCAUGAACCCCAUCAAUGAAUCUAAUCUUGUACUUGCUCAAAUCUUUCAGGUCGAAUAAACUUGCAGGAUCUGGACAAUCAAACAGAAAAAUCCCUUUAAAAGUUGCAAAACCAUAGUAGACUUGCCCAUCUGAUGACUUCACACUAUCUGUAAAUGAAGCAAGAAAGCAAGAAAUUGCAAGAAGCGCAAAAAGAAGGAGGGACAAAGGGCGUGUAGCAGAGUCACAGGCACCAUUAUUGGUAAAGAUUGGG